AGACCAUCAUCAUAAUUACUAAUCAAUAAUUCAGCAGAUACAACAACUCUUAUUAUUUCUCACGUUUUCUGCACUAGUUUUGCUAUAAACCUUAGCUUGUUAUUCUCACUGCCUUGAAGUCAUUUUAAUUGAAAUUUUGGAGCAUUCUCUGUAGCCCUUGUCUUUGCGCUUCUCUUCUAUGCCUUCAUCAUUAUUAGAGAGCUUCCAGCUGCUUAUGGAGGUCUCACGCAACUCUUUAUCUUUGGAUGGUUGAAAUAUGAAAUUGAAAGGAAGGAGAGACACGAAGAAAAUUGAAAAGAAGCUUGCUCAUGAAGUUUAAGUCGGCCUGCUGCUGUUUAAUGUUUAUUCAGUUCAACUCGAUUUUACGUAUGUAGCAGUUUGUGAUUGUGGAUCUGCUCUAUUAUUACAUAUGGUAAUUUUUUUUUCUUCUUUUUCUUCUAUUCUAUCUUUUGCUUUUUCUUUUUGUAAUUUAAAAAAUUGAUAAAGUUGUAUUCUAUUAGAAAUAAGAGAGUCAUUUAAAGAAUGUAUUAUUCAG
This is a long non-coding RNA of Arachis stenosperma, 535 nucleotides long. RefSeq lists it as uncharacterized. The transcript is spliced from 3 exons. The record is from RefSeq and is a predicted model, not a curated record. Lineage: Eukaryota; Viridiplantae; Streptophyta; Magnoliopsida; Fabales; Fabaceae.